Molecule: ribosomal RNA, 466 nt
Filed under: uncultured bacterium
Lineage: Bacteria
Description: partial 16S ribosomal RNA
Rfam family: Bacterial small subunit ribosomal RNA
Source: RNAcentral
GAUGAACGCUGGCGGCGUGCUUAACACAUGCAAGUCGAACGAUGAAGCCCAGCUUGCUGGGUGGAUUAGUGGCGAACGGGUGAGUAACACGUGAGUAACCUGCCCUUAACUCUGGGAUAAGCCUGGGAAACUGGGUCUAAUACCGGAUAGGAGCGUCCACCGCAUGGUGGGUGUUGGAAAGAUUUAUCGGUUUUGGAUGGACUCGCGGCCUAUCAGCUUGUUGGUGAGGUAAUGGCUCACCAAGGGGACGACGGGUAGCCGGCCUGAGAGGGUGACCGGCCACACUGGGACUGAGACACGGCCCAGACUCCUACGGGAGGCAGCAGUGGGGAAUAUUGCACAAUGGGCGCAAGCCUGAUGCAGCGACGCCGCGUGAGGGAUGACGGCCUUCGGGUUGUAAACCUCUUUCAGUAGGGAAGAAGCGAAAGUGACGGUACCUGCAGAAGAAGCACCGGCUAACUACGUG